CCCUUAGAUGUUCUGGGCCGCACGCGCGCUACACUGAUGCAUUCAACGAGUCUAAAACCUGCUCUGAUAGGGGUGGGUAAUCUUUUGAAUGUGCAUCGUGAUUGGGAUAGAUGAUUGCAGUUUUUCAUCUUCAACGAGGAAUGCCUAGUAAACGCAAGUCAUCAGCUUGCAUUGAUUACGUCCCUGCCCUUUGUACACACCGCCCGUCGCUCCUACCGAUUGAAUGAUCCGAUGAAUAUCAUGGAUUGAGGAUGCAAGUAGGUUAGCCUAUCUUCAUCUUCGAGAAGUGAAGUAAAUCUUAUCAUUUAGAGGAAGGAGAAGUCGUAACA
This 329-nucleotide ribosomal RNA is filed under the name uncultured eukaryote. Its description in RNAcentral is "partial 18S ribosomal RNA". It matches the Rfam family "Eukaryotic small subunit ribosomal RNA", at positions 1470 to 1796 of the family's 1831-position model. The record is from RNAcentral.